Non-coding RNA from Nothobranchius furzeri (turquoise killifish), 600 nucleotides. The record is from RefSeq and is a predicted model, not a curated record. Lineage: Eukaryota; Metazoa; Chordata; Actinopteri; Cyprinodontiformes; Nothobranchiidae.
UGUGUGUGUGUGUGUGUGUGUGUGUGUGUGUGUGUGUGUGUGUGUGUGUGUGUGUGUGUGUGUGUGUGAGAGAGAGAGAGAGAGAGAGAGAGAGAGAGAGAGAGAGAGAGAGAGAGAGAGAGAGAGAGAGAGAGAGAGAGAGAGAGAGAGAGAGAGAACCGAUGCUCCUCUGAGGCCUCAAGCCGGGCUUCUACGCAUGCUCCUGUCGGUGUGGAGGAACAGGGCUUUGCAAAUAUGAAUAAAGUGUUUUUCUUGGCUGCCCCGGAGCGGCGGGGUCUACCCUACCAGUAAAUAAAUGUGCUAAUUUUUCUGACUCUUUUGCUGCAGCUGAAAGGGACAACAAAAAGAAGUCCAAAGGUGUGGAGGGGACUAAGGGGAAAAGGGAUCAAAGGCAAACCAUCAAACAGGCAUCUGCCAAACAUCUGGGACCUUCUUACACCUUUGCUUUUGACACACAGAACUUCAAAUAUGUUGCUGAUCCUUUGGAUGAAGGUGAGUAAAAACGUGUUUAUGCACCAGUUAAGAGAAGAUGUCACCCUGUGUGUGUGUGUGUGUGUGUGUGUGUGUGUGUGUGUGUGUGUGUGUGUGUGUGCUCCCAGA